AAUUUUAAAGAAAUUACCCCUUUCUGAAUAUAGUCUCUGAUAAAAUGAUGUUUUUUUUUCUUUAUGUGCUUUUCUCUGGAAUGUAGAAUAGGGUUCUUACUUAAGCAUAUGGCAGCAGUAUUUGUAACACCCCAAAAUUUGCCCUCCUCAUUCAUGCAUUCAUUUAGCAUUUCAUAUUGCAUUUCAUCAUGUCAAUCAGAAUUAGAUCCGAAAAAAAAAAAACGAAAAAAAAAUAAUAAUAAUAAGUUUUUACAAAAAAA
Molecule: long non-coding RNA, 260 nt
Filed under: Lathyrus oleraceus (garden pea)
Lineage: Eukaryota; Viridiplantae; Streptophyta; Magnoliopsida; Fabales; Fabaceae
Description: Pisum sativum (pea) long non-coding RNA (PSAT_LNC020645)
Source: RNAcentral